GCCGAGCGGUAUUUGUCUUUCGGGACAGAGAGAGCGGCGUACGGGUGCGGAACACGUGUGCAACCUGCCUUUUAUCUGGGGGAUAGCCUUUCGAAAGGAAGAUUAAUACCCCCAUAAUAUAAUUGAUGGCAUCAUUGAUUAUUGAAAACUCCGGGUGGAUAGAGAUGGGCACGCGCAAGAUUAGAUAGUUGGUGAGGUAACGGCUCACCCAAGUCGAUGAUCUUUAGGGGGCCUGAGAGGGUGAUCCCCCCCCMCACUGGUACUGAGACACGGACCAGACUCCUACGGGGAGGCAGCAGUGAGGAAUAUUGGACAAUGGGUUAGCGCCUGAUCCAGCCAUCCCGCGUGAAGGACGACGGCCCUAUGGGUUGUAAACUUCUUUUGUACAGGGAUAAACCUACUCUCGUGAGAGUAGCUGAAGGUACUGUACGAAUAAGCACCGGCUAACUCCGUGCCAGCAGCCGCGGUAAUACGGAGGGUGCAAGCGUUAUCCGGAUUUAUUGGGUUUAAAGGGUCCGUAGGCGGAUCUGUAAGUCAGUGGUGAAAUCUCACAGCUUAACUGUGAAACUGCCAUUGAUACUGCAGGUCUUGAGUAAGGUAGAAGUGGCUGGAAUAAGUAGUGUAGCGGUGAAAUGCAUAGAUAUUACUUAGAACACCUAAUUGCGAAGGCUAGGUCACUAUGUCUUAACUGACGCUGAUGGACGAAAGCGUGGGGAGCGAACUAGGAUUAGAUACCCUGGUAGUCCWCGCCGUAAACGAUGCUAACUCGUUUUUGGGUUUUUAAGAUUCAGAGACUAAGCGAAAGUGAUAAGUA
This 814-nucleotide ribosomal RNA is filed under the name uncultured bacterium. Its description in RNAcentral is "bacterial SSU rRNA". It matches the Rfam family "Bacterial small subunit ribosomal RNA", at positions 61 to 866 of the family's 1533-position model. The record is from RNAcentral.